Molecule: transfer RNA, 76 nt
Filed under: Actinomycetes bacterium
Lineage: Bacteria; Bacillati; Actinomycetota; Actinomycetes
Also listed under: 3 other names
Description: tRNA-Gly
Rfam family: tRNA
About the family: Transfer RNA (tRNA) molecules are approximately 80 nucleotides in length. Their secondary structure includes four short double-helical elements and three loops (D, anti-codon, and T loops).
Source: RNAcentral
GCGGAAGUAGCUCAGCUGGUAGAGCAUCACCUUGCCAAGGUGGGGGUCGCGGGUCCGAAUCCCGUCUUCCGCUCCA